GCAAGGAACAGUGUGUUAAAACACAAAGGUUAAGCAUCACAAGAAAGUAACUUUUUUUCUUUGUUUCUCUUUGUUCUGUAGAAUUGGAACAAAGUGACUUUGAUAAAGUCAGAGGAGGGGAAUUUCAGAUACACUGUGACUCAAUUACCAGAGCUAGAAAACUCCUGAUGUCCAGUGUCAAGCUCUCUUUAGGCUCAUAACAAAAUAGCAAGGCCAUGUGUCCAGAAAGCAUAACCAGACAGCUCUGCUGCCUGCUUUUCAAUGCCAAGCUGAAAAUGCUGUACUGAAGGACACUGAUUUCCUGUAUCAUCACUAAGUUUGAGACUGUUUCCCAAACAGCAGCAGAUGCCCAGAGAAUCAGAUAUGACUGUCCCUUAGUGUUUUCUGAUGUCAUUUCCAGCUCCCAUAGAAAAUGCAAAUAGGACAAAUCAACUUAAACCCAACUGACCUGGCAUC
Molecule: long non-coding RNA, 456 nt
Organism: Pseudopipra pipra
Lineage: Eukaryota; Metazoa; Chordata; Aves; Passeriformes; Pipridae
Exons: 3
Source: RefSeq, a predicted model, not a curated record